Molecule: ribosomal RNA, 1552 nt
Filed under: Escherichia albertii
Lineage: Bacteria; Pseudomonadati; Pseudomonadota; Gammaproteobacteria; Enterobacterales; Enterobacteriaceae
Description: bacterial SSU rRNA
Rfam family: Bacterial small subunit ribosomal RNA
Source: RNAcentral
AAAUUGAAGAGUUUGAUCAUGGCUCAGAUUGAACGCUGGCGGCAGGCCUAACACAUGCAAGUCGAACGGUAACAGGAAGAAGCUUGCUUCUUUGCUGACGAGUGGCGGACGGGUGAGUAAUGUCUGGGAAACUGCCCGAUGGAGGGGGAUAACUACUGGAAACGGUAGCUAAUACCGCAUAACGUCGCAAGACCAAAGAGGGGGACCUUCGGGCCUCUUGCCAUCGGAUGUGCCCAGAUGGGAUUAGCUUGUUGGUGAGGUAACGGCUCACCAAGGCGACGAUCCCUAGCUGGUCUGAGAGGAUGACCAGCCACACUGGAACUGAGACACGGUCCAGACUCCUACGGGAGGCAGCAGUGGGGAAUAUUGCACAAUGGGCGCAAGCCUGAUGCAGCCAUGCCGCGUGUAUGAAGAAGGCCUUCGGGUUGUAAAGUACUUUCAGCGGGGAGGAAGGGAGUAAAGUUAAUACCUUUACUCAUUGACGUUACCCGCAGAAGAAGCACCGGCUAACUCCGUGCCAGCAGCCGCGGUAAUACGGAGGGUGCAAGCGUUAAUCGGAAUUACUGGGCGUAAAGCGCACGCAGGCGGUUUGUUAAGUCAGAUGUGAAAUCCCCGGGCUCAACCUGGGAACUGCAUCUGAUACUGGCAAGCUUGAGUCUCGUAGAGGGGGGUAGAAUUCCAGGUGUAGCGGUGAAAUGCGUAGAGAUCUGGAGGAAUACCGGUGGCGAAGGCGGCCCCCUGGACGAAGACUGACGCUCAGGUGCGAAAGCGUGGGGAGCAAACAGGAUUAGAUACCCUGGUAGUCCACGCCGUAAACGAUGUCGACUUGGAGGUUGUGCCCUUGAGGCGUGGCUUCCGGAGCUAACGCGUUAAGUCGACCGCCUGGGGAGUACGGCCGCAAGGUUAAAACUCAAAUGAAUUGACGGGGGCCCGCACAAGCGGUGGAGCAUGUGGUUUAAUUCGAUGCAACGCGAAGAACCUUACCUGGUCUUGACAUCCACGGAAGUUUUCAGAGAUGAGAAUGUGCCUUCGGGAACCGUGAGACAGGUGCUGCAUGGCUGUCGUCAGCUCGUGUUGUGAAAUGUUGGGUUAAGUCCCGCAACGAGCGCAACCCUUAUCCUUUGUUGCCAGCGGUCCGGCCGGGAACUCAAAGGAGACUGCCAGUGAUAAACUGGAGGAAGGUGGGGAUGACGUCAAGUCAUCAUGGCCCUUACGACCAGGGCUACACACGUGCUACAAUGGCGCAUACAAAGAGAAGCGACCUCGCGAGAGCAAGCGGACCUCAUAAAGUGCGUCGUAGUCCGGAUUGGAGUCUGCAACUCGACUCCAUGAAGUCGGAAUCGCUAGUAAUCGUGGAUCAGAAUGCCACGGUGAAUACGUUCCCGGGCCUUGUACACACCGCCCGUCACACCAUGGGAGUGGGUUGCAAAAGAAGUAGGUAGCUUAACCUUCGGGAGGGCGCUUACCACUUUGUGAUUCAUGACUGGGGUGAAGUCGUAACAAGGUAACCGUAGGGGAACCUGCGGUUGGAUCACCUCCUUACCUGAAAGAA